ACUUUUAUUUCCGUAAAUAAGAAGAUUGUAGAGUAAAAUGAGUGGAAAAACAAUUGAUGAAGCAACGGGGAACUUGCAAAAGAGAUUCGACCAGAGAGCUAUGCGAUAUUAUGGUGCAACUAUAACACUAGAUAUAUGCUUCAUUAAGAAGAAAAGAUGAUGCAACGAUCAAGUCACAUAAAAAAGAUGAGGAGAGAAAAUGG
Cinara cedri is the source of this 203-nucleotide non-coding RNA. The record is from the annotation of a GenBank genome assembly. NCBI's taxonomy places the organism in Eukaryota, Metazoa, Arthropoda, Insecta, Hemiptera, Aphididae.